GACGAACGCUGGCGGCGUGCCUAAUACAUGCAAGUAGAACGCUGAAGGAGGAGCUUGCUUCUCUGGAUGAGUUGCGAACGGGUGAGUAACGCGUAGGUAACCUGCCUGGUAGCGGGGGAUAACUAUUGGAAACGAUAGCUAAUACCGCAUAAUAGUAGAUGUUGCAUGACAUUUGCUUAAGAGGUGCAAUUGCAUCACUACCAGAUGGACCUGCGUUGUAUUAGCUAGUUGGUGAUGUAACGGCUCACCAAGGCGACGAUACAUAGCCGACCUGAGAGGGUGAUCGGCCACACUGGGACUGAGACACGGCCCAGUCUCCUACGGGAGGCAGCAGUAGGGAAUCUUCGGCAAUGGACGGAAGUCUGACCGAGCAACGCCGCGUGAGUGAAGAAGGUUUUCGGAUCGUAAAGCUCUGUUGUAAGAGGAGAACGAGUGUGAGAGUGGAAAGUUCACACUGUGACGGUAUCUUACCAGAAAGGGACGGCUAACUACGUG
Molecule: ribosomal RNA, 495 nt
Filed under: uncultured bacterium
Lineage: Bacteria
Description: partial 16S ribosomal RNA
Rfam family: Bacterial small subunit ribosomal RNA
Source: RNAcentral